This 149-nucleotide non-coding RNA is filed under the name Gorilla gorilla gorilla (western lowland gorilla). The record is from Rfam by way of RNAcentral. Lineage: Eukaryota; Metazoa; Chordata; Mammalia; Primates; Hominidae.
UCUGGGUGUGUUGGCAUGCACCUGUAGUCCCAGCUAUUCAGGGAGGGUGAGGCAGGAGGAUCGCUUGAGUCCAGGAGUUUGAGUCUGCAGUGAGCUAUGAAUGUGCCACUGCACUCCCUCCUGGGCAAUAGAGCCAGACCCUGUCUCAA